Molecule: non-coding RNA, 87 nt
Organism: Candidatus Atribacteria bacterium RBG_16_35_8
Lineage: Bacteria; Pseudomonadati; Atribacterota
Source: Rfam
AGUUGAAAAAGGCAAACUAUCUGAAAGGGUAGGACGCAAAGUUAUGGGUCUUAGGCAUUUUAAUGCUAUGACCGCCAGACUACCAAC